This 76-nucleotide transfer RNA is filed under the name Solanum melongena (eggplant). RNAcentral's name for it is "tRNA-Ser". The record is from RNAcentral. RNAcentral also lists the same sequence under 5 other names. Lineage: Eukaryota; Viridiplantae; Streptophyta; Magnoliopsida; Solanales; Solanaceae.
GUCCCUUGAGUCCAGUUGGUUAGGACAAGCAUUCACUUCAUGCGUGCAGACAGAGGUUCGAUUCCUCGUUGGGGCG